This 32-nucleotide non-coding RNA is filed under the name Mus musculus (house mouse). The record is from RNAcentral. Lineage: Eukaryota; Metazoa; Chordata; Mammalia; Rodentia; Muridae.
UGCUGCUUGGUAUAUAGGUCGUUGAUCUUAAU